This is a small nucleolar RNA of Aotus nancymaae (Ma's night monkey), 135 nucleotides long. Its record names the gene SNORA70. It matches the Rfam family "Small nucleolar RNA SNORA70". From Rfam's summary of the family: snoRNA U70 seems to be exclusive to mammals and is a member of the H/ACA class of snoRNA which contain H (ANANNA) and ACA box motifs. H/ACA box snoRNAs are involved in the conversion of uridines to pseudouridines (5-ribosyluracil) a constituent of structural RNAs (transfer, ribosomal, small nuclear, and small nucleolar). The record is from Ensembl. Lineage: Eukaryota; Metazoa; Chordata; Mammalia; Primates; Aotidae.
CUGCAGCCAGUUAAGCUGACCAAGUUUCUUUCCUCACGGGGGCCCAGUGUACAAUGGCUGCAAACAGCAGCUUCCUUGGUAGUGUAGGCAGCCUGUUUCUUAUAUGGGUCACUCUAAGGGACCUUGGAGACCAGA